GCGAUUCGAAAUGGCAUUCGACACUGACCCAUUUACACAAUGUGGCAUGUGGCAGCCCUGUUUCAUUUUAACCACAGCCUCAACUGGCUAAGUACUAGGUUGCAAAAGGCUGGAGCCUGCACACUGUCCCAAGUCAGAUUCUGUACUGCCCAAGCCUCCCUUAGCCUGGACAGGGCCGGAAGAGGUAAGCAAGGCCCUCCUACAUGAAACAGCAUCCCCAGCAUAGCAUUUCUAGCACACGGUCUUCCACAGGGCUCGGUUCAUUAAGCCCCACAGCAGCUCCCCCUCCCUGACACAGUUCCUAACCCAGCCUACGUGUGUGGUGACAGCGACACAGGAAGUUGUUCUCACCGCUGCAGCAGUGACACAGGAAGUUGUUCUCACCGCUGCAGCAGUGACACAGGAAGUUGUUCUCACCGCUGCAGCAGUGACACAGGAAGUUGUUCUCACCGCUGCAGCAGUGACACAGGAAGUUGUUCUCACCGCUGCAGCAGUGACACAGGAAGUUGUUCUCACCGCUGCAGCAGUGACACAGGAAGUUGUUCUCACCGCUGCAGCAGUGACACAGGAAGUUGUUCUCACCGCUGCAGCAGUGACACAGGAAGUUGUUCUCACCGCUGCAGCAGUGACACAGGAAGUUGUUCUCACCACUGCAGGUGCAGAAAACAAGCCUGAUACUCAUGACAGCCUAUGAGGGGCCAGGCACUGACUGAGCUAACAACCUGCGGAGCUGAGAGCUGGGAGCUCCAAAAACGCCAGCAGGGAAGAAGCAGUGGGACCAAAGCAACCCCUUCCUGCAUGUGCCUCCAAAAGAGACCUUUCCUUUUCUAAUAGAUGGUGUCUCGCUCUGUUGCCCGGCUGGAGUGCAGUGGCACCAUCUCAGCUCACUGCAAGCUCCGCCUCCUGGGUUCACGCCAUUCUCCUGCCUCAGCCUCCUGAGUAGCUGGGACUACAGGCGCCCGCCACCAUGCCCGGCUAAUUUUUGUAUUUUUAGUAGAGAUGGGGUUUCAGAAUGUUUGCCAGGAUGGUCUUGGUCUCUUGACCUUGUGAUCCGCGUGCCUCCCAAAGUGCUGGGAUUACAGGCAUGAGCCACUGCACCUGGCCUAUCUCCCCUUUCUAGUACUUAAAUGCUUUUUUCACUUUCUCAACCAAGGGAGUCACUUUGGUUUUCCUGCCUUUGGAAGACGUAAAAAUGAGAAUUCCAUACCUAUGGCAUAAAGUGUAUGGCAUAAAUUUGAAGAGUGAUUCUUUUUUAAAAUUACUUUUUCCCUAGUUAGAAUAAAAAUUAUUAAAUGUUGAGAUAUUUAAAGAAAAAUAAAAAUAAAUCACCUAUAACUCUUUUGGCAUAUUUCCUCCUGGGCUCUUUCCUAUGCAUGUGUAUUUCUUGCAUAGUUGAAAACACACAGCACCCUGUUUUCUCUUUCUUUUUCCACUUAGCAUUAUAUCAUGUUAAUCGCAUUCGACGUUAUUUAUUUUCUUGUUCACUGUUUUCUCUUCCUUCAGCCUAGAGGCAUCACGGGGGCAGGGAACAUGUCUCUCUUGUUUGGUGCAUUAGCUUCAGUGUGUAGCAACUUUUGGGCACACAGUAGGUACUCAAUAAAUGUUUGCUGAAUGAAUGAAUCUGUUAAAACAUUUUUUUUUACAGCAAAAUACUUCACCCUGUGAACGUGACCAUUUGUUUAACAACCUCUUAUGAUAGGUUAUGACAGAACGUUUAGUCCAGUUCCCUUUUUUGAAAUACAUAAAUCUGACAGAAAUAUUACUUGAUGCAGUCUGGAUUACUUUUUCCCAAUAGAGUCCCGAAAGUGGAACCACUGGGUCAGGUGAUACAACACGUUAAUGUCUUAUCUUGAACUGUAAACUUAUGUCUAUCAUGAACGGCAAUGCCACAUGAUCCCGCCACAGUGUUUGGUGUCCCAUGAGGCUUGACUGCAAAAUACCCAGGCGAGGGACCACAGGCCACCUGGGCAAAUCAGUUACUUGAUAAGAAUCACCCCCUCUACACAGUCCCUUCUCCAAACCACAGCCCAAGCUUAACUGAGGCAGGAGAGUCAGAUGCUUAUGGGUGACUUAGGAUAACAGACUAAGGCAGAGACACACAGGAAUGAGCUUCUUGGAGGCUUUAGUUUUCAGGAGGCAUCCACCUCCUCUCAUUGCGUCCACAGUGUCGGCCCCCCACAGCAGCAGCACUUGUGCCAGGACAGGCUCCCCAGGCCGGCCCCUCCACACUCAGUCACCCCCAAGAGGCCACAUUCUCUUUGGGAAGGUAAGCCACAUGGGUGCAGGAGAAGCAAGGAGGAAGAACAGGCAGAUGUGUCCAGGGACAACCCAGGCCAGACCAGGGUCUACACUCAACAGAACUGCCACCCAGAGGCAGUCAGAUUUUAGAAUGUUGACCCUGCUUUCGGCAAACCACUUAGCAAGAAUGUGUUAUUUACUAUUCAAGAUACUCUACAAGCCUGUUCAAGUUUACUGUUGUACAUACCCAACUAGCACCAUGAGUUCCUUAGUUUCUAAAAGGAGGGGGUCUUAAAAGAUGCCCAAUCAAAUUUUUUGCCAUCAGAUUCCUGAGCCUGUAGAAGAAUCACAAAUCCACCUGUUUAAACACUUGGGCCAGCACUGCCAGCAGGCUGCCUCCAGAUGUCAACAAUGAAGGCCAGGGAAUGUCAUUGUGAGAGGCAGAGGAUAAUCCACAGCUAGUGCCAACUGAGGCUGCCAGUAAAUGGAUUUAUCAUCAUUCACUAUCUUCAAUGCAGUAUUUCCCCUCAAUGAAUUAAAUUCAUAAUGAACAAACAGGAUUAUUCCCAUUAUGCAAAGAAAGAACCAGAAUUAAGGGGAGACUAUGGUUGAAUUUGCCAACAGGAAAGUACCAGCAAUAAUGAAGCUUUCCUAUGCCUGGCAUUUUGAGUUAAGCAUUAAAAUCCUUGUGAAGGAAAUUUACAAUUGGAGACAAAGCAAGUAGGGGUGGGGGAAAGUUCUAUUAGAUUAAGGACUCUGAGCUAAUACUUUUGGAUUCCUGGGUUUUCCUGGCUAUAGGAGAAGUUAUUAACAAUAUAGAGUUUAAUUAAUUCUCCCCCUAUGUCCCCAUACUUAAAAUAUGCAGGAAGAAAUUCCUUAAUUGAAACACAGUGAAGUAAGAGAGCCCUAGAAAAAUCACGUAAAUAUGUUUCAGUUUAAAACACCAGUGGAAGUUUCUUCCUUCUGAGAUUUGGUGAACCAGCCACCCAUGGCUAUGUUCAAGUUACAAAGGUUAAUGCAGAGGUUUGGGCGGAAGGAAUAAAAAAGCUUACUUCCAUCCAUUUAUAAAAAUAUACAAAAACACCCCUAUAAUUCACAUACUGAAUACUCCUAUAAUUUACUCCUUAAAAGGGGUGAAUUUCACAGUAUGUGAAUUAUAUCUCAAUAAAGCUAUUAUUAAAAAUACCGUGUAGGGGCCAGGCACAGUAGCUCACGCUUGUGAUCGCAGAGCUUUGGGAGGCUGAUGUGGGAGGAUCUCUUGAGGCCAGGAGUUCGAGACCAGCCUGGCAACAUAGUGAGACUCCGUUUCUACAAAAAAUAAAAUAGAAAAAUUAGCCAGGCGUGGUGGUGUGUCCUUGUAGUCCUAUCCAUUCAGGAGGCUGAGUUGGGAGGAUUGCUAGAGCCCAAGAGUUGGAGGCUGCAGUGAGCCGUGAU
This 3672-nucleotide long non-coding RNA is filed under the name Homo sapiens (human). RNAcentral describes it as "HSALNT0226006". The record is from RNAcentral. Lineage: Eukaryota; Metazoa; Chordata; Mammalia; Primates; Hominidae.